Molecule: ribosomal RNA, 406 nt
Filed under: uncultured bacterium
Lineage: Bacteria
Description: partial 16S ribosomal RNA
Rfam family: Bacterial small subunit ribosomal RNA
Source: RNAcentral
AUUGAACGCUGGCGGCAGGCCUAACACAUGCAAGUCGAGCGAGCGGCGGACGGGUGAGUAAUGUAUGGGGAUCUUCCCGAUAGAGGGGGAUAACUACUGGACACUGAGGCUAAUACCGCCUACUUUAGGCUGAAACGAUAUGGGAUUAGCGAGUAGGUGGGGUAAAGGCGUACCUAGGCGACGAUCUAUACCUGGUCUGAGAGGAUGAUCAGCCACACUGGAACUGAGACACGGCCCAGACUCCUACGGGAGGCAGCAGUGGGGAAUAUUGCACAAUGGGCGCAAGCCUGAUGCAGCCAUGCCGCGUGUAUGAAGAAGGCCUUAGGUUUGUAAAGUACUUUCAGUGGGGAGGCGUUACCAGCAGAAGAAGCACCGGCUAACUCCGUGCCAGCAACCGCGGUAAUAC